RNAcentral lists this transfer RNA (71 nucleotides) under Marmota monax (woodchuck). Its description in RNAcentral is "tRNA.Ala". The record is from RNAcentral. Lineage: Eukaryota; Metazoa; Chordata; Mammalia; Rodentia; Sciuridae.
GGGGUUGUGACUCAGUGUUAGAGCGCCCACCUUGCAUGUGUGAGGCACUGGGUUCGAUCCUCAGUACCACA